RNAcentral lists this long non-coding RNA (864 nucleotides) under Brachypodium distachyon (stiff brome). Its description in RNAcentral is "long non-coding RNA (BDIS_LNC002303)". The record is from RNAcentral. Lineage: Eukaryota; Viridiplantae; Streptophyta; Magnoliopsida; Poales; Poaceae.
CCGCAGCCGCCCUCAGCCCUCCCACCGCCGCGGGUGCCCUCCUCCUCCCUCUGCGCCGGCACGAGCCCCCGCCGCCUCCUCUCUCUGGGUCGGCGUGCGCAUGCUCGGGCGUGAGCCCCCGCCGCCGCCUCCUCUUCCUCUCUCUGGGUCGGCACGCGCCUGCUCCGGCGCGAGCCCCCUCCUCCUCACCGGGCCGGAUCGCGCCGCCACCAUCGCCUCCUCCUCCGCCCUCUGGGCCCCGCCUCUCCUUGCUAUGGGCCGGCGCGCCCACUGCCUCCUCCUCCCUCUACGCCGGGACGCGCCACCAUCUCCUCCUUCCUCUGCGCCGGCGCGCGCCACUACUGCCGCAUCUCCUCUCGUUGGAGCCGUUGCUACCGCGUCACUCUCGCCGAAGACGCGCCAAGUCAUGGGGUCCCACCCGUGCGCCUCUCCUCUUCACUCUCUCUGUCACGUGGGUCCAGACGGACGCGGACGCGGACACUCCAAACCUCUCCCAAAUUUGGGGGCAAUUUGAGAGACGAGGCAGGACAUUUGGCACAAUUUGUCCGUUUAGGGGAUGACAUUGGGGGAUGAUUUUGAGGAUAAAAUAUCCAUAUCCCUCAAAUAAGACAUUUGGAAUAACUUUGGGGGAUGCCAUUAAAGAUGCUCUAACCUAUUCUCGUGUUUUGUUAUAUUGUGCGUUUUUCUAUUUGUAUGAAUCAAAUAGCCAAGUACCGAAACUCGUGUAUUUUCUAAUCAUAUGUUUCACAUGUCCGUCUUCUAUUUGUAUUUCCAAAAUUUUCUACUCCCAGACCGGAAUUACUUGUCGAAAUAUUACAUGUAUCUAGACGCUUUUUAAACAUAAAUAUAUACAUAAUUUGGCAA